This is a long non-coding RNA of Homo sapiens (human), 16822 nucleotides long. RefSeq annotates it as CCSER1 antisense RNA 1. The transcript has 4 exons. The record is from RefSeq and is a predicted model, not a curated record. Lineage: Eukaryota; Metazoa; Chordata; Mammalia; Primates; Hominidae.
AAGAGCCACCUACUAUGCUGGUGAAACAAGAAGACAGAAAAAGAGGACCACUGCUAACCCAUUUGACACCUGUGGAAUUAGAAAUAAGUGCUAUAGAAACCUGAGGGACACACAGGGAAAUCAGAAGACUAAGUGGAGAAGGGAGAAUCACAGACUGGGUUUUGUAUUAGGUAGGUUAAUAUUUUUAAUAUGUCAAAAACUGCAAUUCUGCACCAACUAUUGCUUCUUUGUGACACUUAUUCUUUACUUCUUUCACAGGAUAGCAAUUUUUCAUAUAUUUUAGCCAUUUUCUUAUCCAUAACAAAGUUCCAUGAGGGAAUGCCAAAGUCAUUUUGUCAAACUCUAUAGGGCUGGCUAGACCUUCACACAUAAUGAACAUUGCCUUUUGUUUGGAAACAAUAGCACAUGUGGAUUGGUGAUAGACUCUUGGUGAACAAAGAUUUCCUUUCAUAAAGUUAUCACCAAAUCCGGGAAGUCAAUAGUACAUCCUGCUACUAGAAGAUUGGCACUUCAUUCUCUGGGAGGCAUGGUCAAAUCACGUCUUAUUUGAGAAUAAUGAUACAUUUUGAGAAUAACUUAUUUUGCUUUUUAACUUAUUCUGCUUCGAAGGUGAUACUCUAUUCUUUUUAGCAUUCUUCAUGUAAACUUAUGCAUCAUCUAAUUUUAUUUUUUUCCCUUUAGAAAAAAUUAUCCAGAAGCUGAUACCGUCUGUCUUAAUUACCAUCUGUUAAUUUCCUUACCAAGUUCUGGAGAUUAAAAAUGGACACUGGAGGAACCUAAAGUUAUCUUCCUGAUUGUCAGGAAACAUCUCAAAAUCAUCUUCUACCUGUGUGGCAUACUCCCUCUGGUCAAGACCAUGCGUGACAGAACCUCAUUUUUUUUCCUCUCCAUGAAAUUUUUAAAAACAAAAACAAAAAACCAAAAACUAAUGAGGGAAUAUGCACAAUCAGAACGUUAAAAAGGCAGCUGUGUAUUCCAAAUCUAGAGUAGAGCCUAAAACAUAGUAAAGUCUCAAUAACUUAGUAAAUGAUGUAAGAAAACCAAUAACUUCAAUAUUCACUGUAUUUGGACAUUUGGACAGAAACAACAUAUAAAAAGUUAUGACAUAGAGAAGAAUAAAGAUAAUCUCCCUUAUUCUAUUCUUUAAAGUAGCAUUUACAAUUUUAAGAAAGAAAAUUAGCUACUGAGCUGCCAUAAGAUAUUGAAGUUUUCACAUAAGUCCUGAUUUGAUCCUUACAAUAAUCUUAUUUGGUUAAUAUUAUCCUUGUUUUGCUCAUGGAGACAAUUGAGUCUAUAAAAAACUUUCUUUCUCCCAGGUUGUACUGUUGGUAACUGGCAGAAUCAUAAUGUAAACCCAGGAAUUUCACUCAAACUCAGUUCUUUCCAAUAUCUUAUUUAUUCAGGCCCAGUAGGUAGGUAAUAGGAAAAGUUAUGUUGUGAUGAUGCUCUGAAUAAUUGUUAAUGGAAAAACUGAUUGGAAAAUAAUGAAACUUUACAGACUUAUAAAAAUUAUUUACUUUAUACUGCAAUUAGAAUAUAAAAUAUAAAUAUCAGUGACCGCCUAAACUUCUCAGCCAGUUUGAUUGCAAAAUAAUUCCCUAUUGAAGUAUCAGGAGUCCUUUCUUUGUUUACUCAGUAUAUUGCAGCUAAGGUUGUGCCCCUCACAUCCAUACAGAGUACUCCAUAAAUCCCUCCCCACCCAGAGCAUGGGCCAUGUACAAUGACCAGCAAGAGUGUAUUUUAAAGGCACCAAUAGGACAAAUGUAUGUUUCACUUUCUGUCUACAAAAAAAUCUGCCUCUCCAAAACCACUACAACCCUUCUCCUAUGAAAUGAGGACCAUCUCAUUAAGUUCAAAACAUCCCUCUUCAAUCCAAAUGGAGCAAAGCACAGUGGGUGUACUGGAUGCUCUCACCCAGGGUUUCAUUAGCAGCUUUCACUCUACCUUUGUAUAUAUUAUAAUUUUCAGUAAGCCCCCAAUUGUUCCACUUGCCUGACUGAAACCUUCUCAAUCUUGUUAUUCUUCAGUGCUAUUCUGGGAAAGCAUCGUGUCAAGUGGGCAGUUCAAAGGAUUGCCAGGUACCAAGGUCAACAUGUUCUCAAAAGUCUCUCCUAAGUUUCUUUCCAUUAUAAAGUUCACUUCAGUUAUGAGCUUCAGUAAGACCUUAGAUUAUGCAUGCACCCACACCCACAUGCGCACACACACACACACGCACACACACACACGUAUAUACUUUGUUUCCUAAAUGUUUGUUGAGUCUUAGAAGAUGUGUUUCAGGUACUUUUCCAGGCAAAGCUGACAAACUUCAGUAAAGAAAACAGAGAGCCCUACCCUUCCAUAAUAUAUGAAGAGUGGGGCAAGGUGAAAGAGAAUGGGGAGGGUGUAGCUUAUAAUUUUAAAUAGGGUAAUUGCCUCACUGAGAAGGGACAUUUGAAUAAAGAUCUCAAAGAUGUGAGAAAAUUAGCCCUCGGGAUAUCUGGAGGAAAAAUUCAAAGGUCCUAUAGUAUAGGGAUGUGUUGGAAUAAUAGCAAACAGGCCAGUCUGGCUAAUGUAUUGCUGAGAGACUGGUAGGAAGAGAUUUCAGAGGAUAAGCCUGGUUGGGUUACACAUUCUUUAUCUUUUUUUAAUUUAAUUUUUGUUUGUCAAAUAAUAAUUAUAUGUAUUUAUGGAGUAUAAUGUAAUGUGAUAUAUGUAUAAAUUGUGGAAUGAUUAAAUCAAUCUAAUUAACAUGUCACCACACAUUUAUCAUUUCUCUGUGUUGGGAACAUUUAAAAUCUACUCUUUUAGCAAUUUUGAAAUUUACAAUACAUUAUUAUUAACUGUAGUCACCAUGCUGUGUAAGAUAGCAUGACAAUUUAUGCCUCUUGCCCAACUGAAACAUGUUACCCUUUGAGUGACAUCUCCUUUUAUCCCCGUUCACCUCCAUCUUCUGCCACCAGCCUCUGGCAAUCACCAUUCCACUCUUUAUUUCUAUGAGCUUGAAUUUUUAAAAUAUUUUACACUGAAGGAGAUAGGAAGUCUUUGAAAUGCUUUGAGCAGAGGUUUUCCAUGAUAUGACUUACACUUUAAAAGAUCACACUGUGUUAAGGACAGACUAUAGGAGACAGGAGUAGAAGAAUAUUUUACUAAUUGAAGAGAUGGUGGUGGCUUUUUCCCAGCAAGUAGCAAUAGAAUUAGAACCAAGGGAUUUCCUGACAGGUUGGGUGUUAGAGAAAUGGAGGGGUCAAGAAUAAUUUCAAGAUGUCCAAGAGGACGUACGUAUUUAGUGUCAUAGAAUAAACAUUGUAUAUCCUACUUUACAAUCAAUUGCAGUCCAUUAUAAGUAAUGAAUGAAUUCUAUCAGAGAAAUUUUACAAAUGAAACACACAUUUCAAACACAGUUCUUGCUUAUUAUUGGAUAUACAGUUCUACAAUCUUCGAGUCUUUGUAAAUGAAUUAAUUCUCCUCUAAGAAAGACUGAUAGUAAUCAUAUUUAUUGAGUGCUCAUGAUGUACCAGGCAUUGUUCCAUGUUCUUUGAAUUUACUAAUAUAAAUGACCCUCAUAAACCUAAAAUAUAAAAACUAUUACUGUGUUAUUUCAUUCUCACGCUGCUAAUAAAGGCAUACUCAAGACUGAGUAAUUUAUAAAUAAAAAGAUAUUUAAUGCACUCACACUUCCAUAUGGCUGGGGAGGCCUCACAAUUAUGGCAGAAAGCAAAGCAGGAACAAAGUUACGUCCUACAUGGCGGCAGGCAAGAAGGCAUGGGCAGUGAAACUGCCCUAUGUAAAACCAUCAGAUCUCAUGAGACUUAUUCAUUAUCAUGAGAACAGCAUGGGAAAAAACCCACCCUUAUGAUUAAAUUACCUCCCACCAGCUCCUUCCCAUGACAUGUGGUGAUUAUGGGAGGUACAAUUCAAGAUGAGAUGUGGGUGGGGACACAGCCAAACCAUAUCAAUUAUGAUACUAAUUUCACAGAGAACUCAGAUAACUUGCCCAAGGUCACAUGGCUUAUAAGCUGUGGAACUAGCAACUAAACCAAGACAGUCUGGUAUGAAGCCUACUGUCUUAACUGCUAUGCUGUAGUAUUCAUUGUAAAUAAUUGAAAUUGCCUAGAAAUGUAGAGUAUUAGAUGAAUUUUUUAUCCUUAUGCUUUACAAAUUAUUACUGAUCAAGUGGAUUGGCUCAUUGAUGUGUCUUUUUCUCAGAUUUCCACUAGCAUAAAUAAAUCGUUUAUUCUUGCUCCACUUCAGUUCAAUGAAUUAAUGCCAAUAAAGAACAUAGAACAGUGCCUUGCCUAUAGAAAAUACUCAGUAAAUGCUAGUGUUAAGCUACUAUGAUAUCAGUGAUUUUUCAUUUUAUAACUUAUUCAUUCAACAACUGUGUUUAUGGUUCCAAUGUAUGGCCAGGCGCUGGGUUUGGCAGUGGAAAUAUAAUGAAAAAUACAGCACUGUCUCUGCCUGAAAGAAGUUCAUAACAUAUUACAAGGAGGUGUACUGCUUUCUAUUAAUACCAUGCUCUUAUCUCUGUGACCAUACCAUUUGAAUGUAUGGGGCUGGCUUCCAUUUGCAUCUCGUUUCCUGAGGGCCAAUUCAGAAGCCAUAAAAGAUUACUCUUUGUCUGCCUCCUGAGAGGCCAGAAGAAUAAUUACACACUUACACACACACACACACACACACACACACACUUGCACACACGGUUCUAUCUAGAAGUAGCCCUCAUCUAUUGGCUGAAGUGGGUAAAUAAAUACUACAGUUUCCUCAUCCCCUAGUAGAGAGAAUCCUGAGGCUUAUAUUCUACUAUUGUUCAGAGUUUUCCUGCAGGACUAAACUCUAGUUGCCCACAGUAGUAUCUGGCUUUACACAUUUUGUUGACUUUCUCACUCUCUCACUUUCCCACUCCUCUACAAUAGUAUCCUUAGCUUACCUACAAAAUUACUUACUUGUAUUUGAAUCAUUACCUUUAGGGAGCCCUGCUUCUGAGGGAAUCUUAACUACAAUAGAGGGAAAUAGGCAUGUACAUAAAUAAAAAAUCAGACAUAGCUAUUGCUCCUACAAUGGAUAUCCAUAUUUGGUAUGAUGGAGAUUUAAAAAAGAUAACAACCCAGAAAUGUCAAUUAUCUUGAGAAUCUUAGAAGGCAGUGAAGAAGGGAGGGAGCACUCUUGGAAAAGUGGGGAGCUUGAGUAUAUACAGAGGAGAAAGCUUUUGUUAGUAUGUUAGUAAUUUCAGCACGGCUGCAACAUAAUAAGCAGUAGAGGGAGGAAGCCAGAGAGCUAGUCUGGGAUACAUCAGAGAGAGUCUUCCUUGUCUUGAUGAAGAGGUUACACUUAAUUUUGUAGACAAUGGUGAGUUAUUAAGUUAAACUUAAUUGGUUUUCUAAUCAACUGAGUAAAAUUAUGACAUAUAGUUUGCAUUUUAGAAAAGUUAAAUUUGCAGGAAUAGAAAAGAAGGAUUAUAAGGUUCCCUAGAUACAUGAAGACAGGCCAUCAGAAGAACAGUGCAAAGUAUGAGGAAGAUAUGGGGAAAGCAGCAACCAAGUCAAAGCAAAAAUGGAGGCAAGAAUAGUGAUUACAAAUAUGUUACUGAGGUAUGGUCACUGACUAUAGACACUUGGCGAGAAGAUACAGUAAGGGAGAAUAAAACAACCUGGGUAACUUAUUUACCACUUGUUUUCAUAACUGGGUAUGUACAUGUGCCAUUCUCAAACAUGGCAGAAACUGCAGAUGAAAUAGGCAUUGAUUUAUGGAAUAGGAAAGAGAAGCUAAACGAUAAGGAAUUCCGUUUUGAAGAUGUUGACAUUGAAGUAUCUCUAGGACAUCAGGGAAUUGUUCAGUAGUAACGUGGUAAAAAGAGAUAGAGAUCUGGAGGUUUUCUAAUGUAAGUAUAUAUCAAUCAUCUGUUACUACACAACCACUUUAAACUUAGUAGUUUAACACAGCAAAGAUUUUCCAAUUCUAUGAAGUGUCUAGGAAGUUAUUUCCCUUGUUUACUUGGACUCAUCUCUGUAGCUUUAUCCAGCCUGGCAGAACUGGGAAGUAUAAAAUGGCCUCAAUCAUAGGUCAGGGGGCUUGGACUGGGUCAUCUUUUCCAUGUGGCCUUGCAUCUUCCAGACUAGCUUCCUCAUAUGGUGAACUCGGACUCAAGGUGGAAUCCCAAGAAGCAAAAGCAGAAGCCACUAUGUCUCUUCAGGCCAAGGCUCAGGACCAUGUGCAAUGCCACAACUGCCACGUUUUAAUGGUUUAAGCAAGUCAAAAGGCCAGACAAGAGUCAAGGGGCUGAUGGCUCAACAUUACAUUUUAAACAGGCAUCAACCGAGAAAGAUGUGACUUAGUCAAUGCCAUGAUUAUAACAGACAACUCCAAAAGAGUUUUGAAAUCUUGAGAGUAUCAGCUUUGUAAGUAGGAACCAAAUCAAAUUUAGUAGUGGAUCAGGAGCCAAAUAAGAUCUUUAGAAAGAAGUGAUAGAAAGAAUGCAAACAAAGAGAAGGGCCAAGGAAGCCAAGGGUGAAAAGCCUUUCAAAAAGACAAAAGUAUUUAACACAUCAAAAAUCUUAGAAAAAGCUAGUAAUAAGACCAAAAAAUAAAUAAUUAGAAUAUGUUAUAACUAAUUAUAUAAAAAUAUUAAUUGAAUUUAUAAGUUAGCAUAGAAAAUAUGUUUAAGUACUUAAUGUCUUAUGAAUGUGAGAAGACAGAUUUUAAAAUGUUCAUACAUAUUUGUGGUAUGAUAAUUAUAAAAAUGUGUUAUGUAUAGACUUGGAUGAAAAUCUUUGAAUGUCAUGGAACAAAUAUCAGCUCAAAGAGUAAAAAGGAAAGGUAUACAUUUUUCAAAUGUUAAAAAAGAGCAGGCUUAUUUUUUAAUCUUGGAAAGGGGUAUCAAAUAAUUAUGAUUUUCAGAAUGCUAUAACAUUUUUACUAGACGGGAGUUACCACAUGCUAGAAUCAGCAGCCUUUACAACUCUAUAAAAUUUAUUUAGUUAUUUAUCUCCUUCUAAAAAUUGUAUAUACAUUUAUAGGGUACAAGUGCAAUUUUUUUACAUGCAUAGAUUGCACAGUGGUAAGACUAGGCAAUUUACAGCAUCCAUCACCUGAAUAAUGUACAUUGGACCCAUUAAGAAAUUUCGACUUACAAUGAAAAAUUUAGAUGACAAGUUAAACAUGGGUGAAGAGGUACAUAAUUUUCCAAACUCUUUUAGUGAGUAUGGAAUCCAAGUUUAAAGUCCACCAGUCUGUAUUGCGUGCUUUAUGCCUUUUUUUCUUGAGGGCACUUUUUUAGUUUGUACUCUGGAGUUCAUUUUUAUGGUAUUUGAAAAACACUAUUUUCCACUGGUUGGUAUGUUUCAUGAAAGCAGGGAUGAUGCUAACUUUCGUUCACCAGUAUAUCCCUAGCAACCUGUGCAAUGUCUAGCCUAUCACAGAUAUACAGUAUAUGUCUACAGCUUAAAUUAUUUACUCAGCUUAAUUCCAGGCAAAAUUAAUACAUGUCUCAUCACUCUUACCACCACAUUGGAAUCUCUGCCUCUUUCUCCUUGAUAUUCUUUUAUACCUAUAAGUCCUGCUGAAUAAAACAGUGCUGCCUGUGGAAAUUCAUAUUAUCUUAUAUAUUAUAACUCUUGUAAUCUAGUCAUUCUUUUAGUAAUACUAAAUGAUUAGCCCUAUAUUACUAUUAUUAUGUUUAGAGAUGACUUACUGUGCAACUAGAAUAUGCACUACAAUAUAAAUUUGUAUACUUGUUAUAAACUGAACCUACUACUUAAAGCCAGAGCUCCUUCCAUCUUGGAAGUUUUCACAUGUUUGAUGUUUUUUAGCUUUUCUAUAUUUUAAAAAUCAGAAUAAUUUCCUCCUCACUUUCAUUCCUACAAAACUAAAUCAUUAGUCCUGUUAGACAGGAGUUACUAACCAGAAUUAUAACAGUCAACAAUGGAAGACAAAGUGAAUAGUGGUUUUGAGUAACAACCCAUGCUUUCAUUAAAUAAACAUGUUCUCUGCAUUAUUGUCAAAAGGAAAAUUUAUUGAAAAGAUGUCUAUGUGCAUUCCUGGAUUAAUUGUAAUGAAACAGUAACUAAUAAUUCUACCUAUAUGGUAUUGCAAAUAUGUAAGCUAAAUUCAUCACAUGAGCAUGUGGCACUGGCUUUAAGACCUAUAGACAAGUCUCACUGUUUCAAUGUCAGUUUAUGAUUUAUAGAUUAUAUUUUUAAAAAAAUUACUAGAAAUACAGACAGCUACUAAGGGUGAAAGAACUGAAAGGUAAAUACAUUAAGGUUACAUUUACUUCCACCACAGAAUUCUAAUAACAUUUGCACAAAGAUAAUAGGCAUGUUCAAUGAAAUAAUGAAAUAAGUAAACUUGUUGUCGUUACUGCUGUUGUGAAAAAUAUUGUCUCUAUUAGCAUCUACUAUUAGGAAAAAAAUCUAUGUCAAAGUGUCUUCAUUUAGCAACAAAAACAAAAAGUCUCUAGUACUUUUCUGGCAGGAGAAAAACAUUGUAAUUUUGAUAGCUCUUGCCAAUAGCAGUAGGAAUAACUAAAUGCAGAUAACUUAAAGUUUGAUACCUAAGUUUGCAGACCACUUUAUUAAAUAAAGCAGACAUAUGCACAGCUUUUUAGCAGGUACUUAAAAGUCCUGAAAGCUAAUGGUUAAAGAAUUUUUAGCCAGGGAUACAUAUUGCCACAUGCUUAAGACAAGAUUUUAACAUAUGUCAGAUGAACCCUAUCUUCUUCUGUAAAUACAUCAUUUCAAAAGAAUCAUGUAAUAGUUAAAUGAAAGCAGUAGUAUUAUUAAAGAAAGUAAUAGUUACAGUAAAUAGUUUAAUCAAUCAGAAAUAGUUAUACAUAAGCAGGUCUAUUUUAAAAGUUAUUUCUUCUAGAUGAUAAUGGAUUAGACCAGGGGAAUCCAAUCUUUUGGUUUCCCUAGGCCACAUUGGAAGAAUUGUCAUGGACCACACAUAAAAUACACUAACACUAACAAUACCUGAUGAGCUAAAAAAAAAUCACAAAAAAAGUCUCAGAAUGUUUUAAGAAAGUUUAUGAAUUUGUAUUGGGCCACAUUCAAAGCUGUCCUGGGCCACAGAUUUGACAAGAUCAGAUUAGACUUUUAUUUCAAGGCAAUACUAUUACCUCCUGUCAGCCUUCUGAUGGAAAAAAGGGUUCAUGGCUCCAUUAAGUCAAAAGAACAUGUACCCUUAGCGAAUUUAUCUCCAUUUUGGUAGAGAACAAAAAAGGAGUGUUAAUUCUAAUACCAGAAUUAGAGCUUGGAAUUCAGAGGGAAGUGAGAUAGACCAGAGCUAGAAAUGAGAGAAUCUGGAAUGGUCAUGCUCAUCGGGAAGACCAUGUUCAUCAAGGAGAAGAUAUCCUUGUCUUCUUCUUGACAAAGACAAUUUUGAAUGUGGCCCAACAAAAAUUCGUAAACUUUCUUAAAACAUUAUGAGAUUUUUUUUUUUUUUUGCAUUGGUUUUAGCUCAUCAGCUAUUGUUAGUGUUCGUGUAUUUUAUGUUUGGCCCAAGACAAUUCUUCUUCCAAUCUGGCCCAGGGAAGACAUUGUCAUUAUGCAAGAAAGCACAGCAGGGCAGGGAAUAACAAUGGUCAAGGCACGAUAAUAAAAUGGCAGCCAAUCAGGCCAAUGUUGCAAUUAAAAGGACUCAAGCCACAAUCAUGGAAUGCAGAACACGGGAUGUGGCAUAAGAGUGUCUAAAACUAGCUAAGCUUCCACUCUAAGCUUUAGCAGGUGGGCUCUAAUAUGACUAGUGUUUUUAUUAAAAAGGUAAAUUUGGAGAGAGACAACCACAUAAGGAGAUUGUGAGGAUUGGAAUUGCUGCCACAUGCCAAAGUAACUAUGAGAUGUUAAGAGAGAGGCCUGGAAUAUAUCAUUCCCUAGAGCCUUCAGAGGCAGGAAGGCCCUGCCAAUACCUUGAUCUUGGACCUCUAGCCUUCAGAAAUCUGAGACAAUAAAUUGCUGUUGGUUAAGCCACCCAGUUUGUGGCCCUCUGUUAUGGCAGGCCUGGGAAACUAAUACACUAACGUAUCAUUCUUCCAAAUCCAGAUUCACAUUGGCAAGAUAUUCCUCAUAAACCUAAGGAAAAAAUUAAAUUCUUAUAUAUUCCUAUAUAUACAUGAAAAGAAUGAAAAAGACAGGUUGGCUUUGGUUUUACAUUCCAUUGCUAUCUACGAGUGCCUUGGUUGUUCCUUGUAGAGUACAAGAGCUGCAAGCCUUUUAUGUAGUAUUGCUCUAUAACAUGUAACACUGUCUUAAGCAAACAUUCAUUUGUGGCAAGUCAAUAUCACAAAUGAAAUAUUGUCUGAAGAAAAAGGAAAAUCGAUAACCACCUUUAGGGUCAUUAAAUUUUGAUAAGGGUUUUCUGCAAACAUCAGUAUACUAGCAAACGGAUUGUAUGUUUCUCUCUUUCUUUCUAUUUAAUGAAAUCUGUCUAGGAACCCACUUGAGCUCAUUCAUGUGAGCACGUGCGUGCACAUGCACACAAACACACACACACAUACAUUUUUACAGAAUCAUCAGUGGCCUCCUUGAAGAAUUUGUUGUUGGUGGUUUUAUUUUAAAUAGCUGUAUUAACAAAUAUCAGCCUUGCCAUUAGAAGGAAAAGAAUAGUAAGCCAAUGAGGUAUCUGCAUGUGCUCCAAUGUCUGGACAGGUGGUUGUAAAAUUAGAAUAGAGUAAUCAUCUAAAAAGGACGGACAAGAUUUAAAAUACUCACUUUUUGUAUUUGAAAAUAUGUUGCUAUUUUUAAAAAAGAGGAGGAGAAAAUACUUUAGAAUAAUAUGCAAGGGAAAGAACUCAGCAUGAAAAUGAGAACAACUACAAAAAGUGUCCUUAAAAAAGGUAGGCAGCUCACUUUCCCAUAGGGUUUAGGCCAGUAGCCUAAAAAGUAACCACUUUUUGACCAUAUUCAAAUAAUUUCAAUUGUUUUCCAUUUUAUUAAGAAGUAAACUUAAUUCAUUUCUAGUCAUAGAAAAUUACAAAUUAUGUUUUAUACAUUUAUUUGGUUGCUCCUGUGUUAAAAAAAAUCUAGGGCUCCCAAAUAUUUCCCUUAUAUUUUUGGUGUCAUUAACUUGGCAAUACAUUACUGUUGACUACAUUCCACUAAAUGGUUGAUUAACAUUCUUUGAAAAAAUAGGCUAAUGAUGAUUUGAAUGUCCUGGGCCAGUAAUUCCCAAACUUUUUGUUUAUGUACACUUCCAAAUAUGUGCAUGCUAGUGCAACAGCAAGGAUACAUUUUUCAGAACUGAGAAUGCACUGAGCAAAUAAGUUGUUAAAGGAUAGCCUCUAUGAAAAUAUGUGGCAUAACAGGCAUUGUUCUUUAGCAAAGAUUCUUCUACUUUCUGUGUCCUGAGUUCCUAGUAGGCCCAGACAACACCGCUUGCUGACAAUGUCCUUAAAAAUGUUUGUAAAUCUCUCCUACCUAGUGAUUUGUUUAUGAGGUCCAUUAUAACACCAAACGCUUCCACUUAUGGAACAUUUCCUUCAAAGUACAUCCAGGUACCUAAACAUUUUAAUGUCUAGCAUAAUACUCUUUUUCUUUGUGCCUUCAGGGAAGAGUCAGCCCUGUCACUUGUAAAUAUUUUAUCAAUCAUUAUGAGAUGAAACACUCACCAAAAUAUAAAUGAAGAGGCCACAGUUCAGUAAACAGCAAGCCAUACAGGACAUGAACAGUGCAGUGGUAUAAAAUCUCUUUGCGUUCAUCUACACUUUCAAAUGUGUGCAUACCCAUCCAAAGAAGAUGCCUUUUUGGAAAUAAGAAUAAAAUAAACUUAGAUUUGGGGUGGGAUGAUUAUUUUCCAAAAUUUUAGCAGUGAAGGGAACUAAUAUCUACAAGUAGAGUGUUUAACACCCAGAUGCAUAAAAUAUCCUUGGCUAAAGCAUUUCGUAGCUCUCAGAUCAUGAGGAAAACAUAAGAUUACAGUGUACUCUAAUGGGCCAUUUAAAGACAGAAAGCAUUAUAGCAUAUCAUUGCUUCAUGGACCCAUUAAAACGGGUAUAAAUGACCAAUAUUUUUAAUAGCACUCUUGAUGAAUUUAAAGUUCAGAACAAUACUAAAGUCAGCAACAAUUACAAUUCAAAUGAUAUUGUACCAAAAGAACUUCUUAUGGUUUCUAUUUAAGCAGUUAUACUGUUUUCUUUGUUUCCCUUCAGCAAGGAACUGUUCUUUUCUAUUCUCUCAAGGAAAAGGUCUUUCAGGUUCCAGUAGACACAAGAUUGUUUCACUUUCUUCUUACUCAUUGUAAGUUGUGCCAUUCUUUUACCACAACAUAUAACCUGCUUGGCAAAAUGUUUCAUCUGAAAAAACGUCAGCCAUGGUAUAAGUAUACCAAGUUGCAGGGAAAAUAAACUUGCUUACAAUUUGCUUACAGUUGUAAAAAUUUGCUUACAGCUGUAACAAUUUGCUUAAAAUUUAAUAGUAUAAUGAUAUUGGGCUAAAAAACUCAAAUAAUGAGUUAGAAAAUAAUUCUCUAGGGACUAAAGAAAAAAAAGCAUCAUAGAAAAAGUUCUUGAAAGGAAAUAGCAAGAUAAGACUAGAGAGGAUUACAAAGACAGUUAUAUAUUAGAUCUGUUCAGAAUCCUUUUUUUUAUUGUUUCAUAACUUUUCUUCAUGAAAAAUUACUACACAGAGAGGUUAUAUGGGGAUAUAUUCUAUGAAAACACAGAAAUAUUUUAUUAAGAGUUAAUACAUAAUGGAUAUAACCACAACUCUUUCAAAAAUCAUUGGGUACCUAAAAUCAUGUUCAUUUGAAAAAUCAUAGAUUGUUGUGAUACUUAAGAAUGAAAUUUUGAUAUCUUAUAAAACAUCAUACCCUAAAGAAAAAUCUUUAGCCCUAAAGUAUUUCAACCAAGAAUAAUUGUAGUCUCUUCUAAUUACUAUUACAAAUUAUCUGAAUGUUCUUUAGAUGACACCAGCAUCUCAGUCAUUAUGUGCCUUUAAUAAAAAGUCAGACACCUUCCUCAGAGUGCAGCAGAAAAAAAACAAAAGGAAUAAAAUGACUUGCCUAACUAAAAGUUUUGUAAAAGUUGAUUUAACAGUUAACCUAAAUUAAUAGCUGUGGUCAAUUUGUAUCUCUGUUACUUGGAAAAUGGCAUGCUUACACUUCAUUGUGAGAACAGUGGAACAUUAAAAUAUUUCUAAAACAUUGAAAUAUAGUAAAAUGUUGACAAAUAUUUUAGAAUUAGACAAUCAUCUUGAUUUUUUUCUUUCCAGCUUUGAAUGAACCAAGUUUCAGACUUCCUUAAAGAAUAUACUCAUGAAUAAAGAAUUAACGUGUUUAGGUAUUAAGAUGAGGAGCUUCUGCUUACAGAUGACACUUUUACUAUUGGUAUAUGCUAGUAAAAGGGAAGCUGACAAGUAUAGAGGUUUAAAAAGAAUCACUGAGGAAAACAUUUGCUAUUUACUUUCUUAUGCUUUCAAAAAGCAAAUGCUUAAAAACAAGCAGAAUGUACUAAUUCUUUAUAUUUUUUUCAGAAGAAGAAUCUGUUUUAGAGAAAGCCAAAGCAAACCAAAACAAAAAGCUAAAGCAAUUUAAGUCUUCAAAUAUGAUCCAAGCAUUUGAAACAAAUAAACAUAUGAGGAUUUUUUCUUCUCAUGCCUUCACCUUUUCCUACUACUCUGGAAGGAAGUAUUAAUGUAGCUGAUAACUCUUAAAUUUGACUUCUCUAUGAAACAAAGAAAAGAAAAAGUAAUCAUAUAUGAAAGGUUGGCAAUGAUGUUCAUGAAAAAAAUUUCUGUUAUGGAUUUUUUUCGUAUACACACACACACACACACACACACACACACACACACAAACACACUGAUAUGGUUUGGUUGUGUCCCCACCCAAACAAAUCUCAUCUUGAAUUGUAGCUCCCAUAAUUCCCAUGUGUUAUGAGAGGGACCUGGUGGGAGAUAACUGAAUCAUGGGGGCAUGUUCUCCCAUGCUGUUCUCGUGAUAGUGAGGGGGGGUCUCACAAGAUCUGACGGUUUUAUAAAUGGCAGUUCCCCUGAACACGCUCUUCUGCCUGCUGCCGUGUAAGAGGCGCCUUGCUCCUCCUUCGCCUUCUGCCAUGAUUGUGAGGCCUCCCCAGUCAUGUGGAACUAUGAGUCCAUUGAACCUCUUUUUCUUUAUAAAUUACCCACUCUUGGGUAGGUAUUUAUUAGCAGCAUGAGAACAGACUAAUACACACAUGCACACACACACACACACAUACAUACACACUGACAAAAACAGAAAAUAAUUCAAUUGGUCUACUUUCAAAUAAUUUAUGAGCAGAAGACCAAAAAUAAAUGAAAUGUAUGAAUCAAUCAUUAAUUACAGUGUGGGAAGUAUUUUACACAAUGUCCAAAAUAUUGAUUACAUUUUAUAGCCUUUCCUAUGUAAUGUUGUCUCAAGUUAUUUGUGUUUUCAUGCUUUACAAUUAAUUCCAAGUUGAGACAUGCAAAGAUACAUAUUUUAUAAAAAAAAUUUCUGCACCUUACAAUUGCAAAUAAUGGCUUUUGAACUUUUCUACAAAUAUUUUGCAUACCAAAUGGAUCCCAUUUACUGUUAUAGUCAUUUUAUUUUGGUUACAGGAAUGUUCAGGGGCUUCAAUUGUAAAAUUCUUUUUUUUGCAUUUUAUAAAAUGAAUGAAAUGUUAAAUUGUGAUAGCCUUUUUUACAAGUAAAAACAAACUUUUGAAUGAUUCUAUAAACAAUCUAAUAACUUGAAAAGAAGUAAUUUGAUCAUGAAAAAUAAGACAUACACUGAGAUAGAAAUCAUAUGAGCUGUCUGUUAAUUUUUUCUUAGGGAGAAUGAAAAGAUUCAAAUUAUUCCUAUGUGUUUGAGGUUUCAGAUGUUUUAUAUAGCAUUAAAGGUAAAUCAAGCAUGAUGCCUGGCUGUGACAAAGAAAAAUAAUCUAGUUUAAAAGGAAGAGGGUGAGAAAAUUUUGCCCUGCUUUCUACGGAAAUAAGAAAAACAUAUGAUUCACCAUAUAAUUGAAUUUUCUACUUUAGUAUUAGUUCUAGAAGAUAUUUAAUUUAAGUAACAUUCUUUUAAUAUCUCCCUAAUCACUUAGAAGGCAUACGUAGUUUUAUAAAUGAAAACAAUAAAAUAAUAAAUACAUAUGUUUCCAUUAACAUUCGGGGAUUGUAUUGUGAUUCAUUCAUAGUGUUAACAGUGUGUCCAAGUAAGCAUCUGAAACAAUAUAUGCUACUAAUUAAAGGACAGUAUAUCCUGUGGUGUGAACUCUGCGAUCUAAUUAAAUUCUGGCUGCCCUCCAUUAUAAAAGAGGAACGUAUGUGAUGUGUGAAAAUGUGCAAAUUAAAGUAGAUUACUAAGUCCUGGAACUAAUAUUGGGUCGCUAAGGUAAGAUAUUUUUGAUGAUCUCAGUGUAUAAAAUGAUGAGUCAAGGGAUAAACCUCACAGACUAUAGACAUGCAUAUUAUGGCAGAUAAUUUAAAUUAGCCUGACAAAGUUAACUAAUGUAUCAAAAAAUAACUCAAUAGAAAGGAAAAUUUAAGGCAAUUGCCUUGCAUUCUUAUUAAACCUAAUAUUUACCAAAUUAAACCUUUCCUUUAAAUGUAAAUAAACAUAAUACUAAAAUUAUAGAUUUUUUUGUGGUUUUGUUAUCUUUUAAACAGUUCUAUUUAAUCAACUAGCUUUCAAUAAAAUUUUGAAUUUCAUUUUAAUUCACUAUUUCCAGAGAGUUGCCAUCAAUAAAAGUUUUUUAGAACAUUAAGGAUUUUGAAAUAUGCAAUUUAGUCGGCAAGAUCACUAGUAAAUUUUUCCUUCAGUUAAAAUAGCAAAAGAUGGUUUAAUAUAGAAUGCAAUUGACUCAGGAAGGGUGCUACCACAAUAUUUAUAAGGGAACAUUUUUUCUUUCCCUUAAGGCUUUUCUCAACAAAUGUGUGAAUAAUAUAUAUUAUUUAAUUAACAGACUAUAUUUUCAGAUCUGUAUUAGACUCUAUAUAUCCUCCCACCCUGCUCCACAGUUUCCCUUAUUAACUGUUUAUAUUUACAUGAUACAAUUUUUAUUUUAUCCUGGGUAGUUAGUUUUAGUUUUGUUGUUUUGUUGUUGUUGUUUGUUUGUUUUUGGAGACAGGAUCUCAGUCCAUUGUCCAGGUUGGAGCGCAGUGGCAGGAUCACAGCUCACUGCAACCUUGACCUCCCAGACUCAGGUGAUCCUCCCACCUCAGCAUCUCCAGUAACCUGGAUUACAGGCAUGCACCACUGCACCUAGCUAAUUAUUAUUAUUAUUAUUCUUUUUGUAGAGAUGGGGUCUUGCUAUGUUGCCAAGGCCGGUCUUGAACUCCUGGACUCAAGUGAUCCUCCCACUUCAGCCUCCCAAAGUGCUGGGAUUACAAGUGUGAACAACUGUGCCUGGCCUAUAUGGUACAAUUUUUAGAAGAUUAUUGACUUCCUGAGUCUGAAAAGUACUCCAAAGUCAAGGCAACAAAAUGGCCCAUUACUUCAAAAGAGGUGGAAGCCACACUAAGCAUUUCAGACCUCAUUUCAAGAAUAAUUUGUCAGGCCUCUGAGCCCAAGCCUGCACGUAUACGUCCAGAUGGCCUGAAGCAAGUGAAGAAUCACAAAAGAAGUGAAAAUGGCUGGUUCCUGCCUUAACUGAUGACAUUCCACCAUUGUGAUUUGUUCCUGCCCCACCUUAACUGAUUGAUUAACCUUGUGAAAUUCCUUCUCCUGGCUCAGAACCUCCCCUGCUGAGCACCUUGUGACCCCGCCCCUGCCUGUAAGAGAAAAACCCCCUUUGACUGUAAUUUUCCACUACCCACCCAAAUCCUAUAAAACAGCCCCACCCCUAUCUCCCUUUGCUGACUGUCUUUACGGACUCAGCCAGCCUGCACCCAGGUGAAAUAAACAGCCUUGUUGCUCACACAAA